Molecule: unclassified non-coding RNA, 355 nt
Filed under: soil metagenome
Description: partial contains 5.8S ribosomal RNA, internal transcribed spacer 2, and large subunit ribosomal RNA
Rfam family: 5.8S ribosomal RNA (bases 1-120)
Source: RNAcentral
GAUGAAGAACGCAGUGAAAUGCGAUAAGUAAUGCGAAUUGCAGAAUCCGUGAGUCAUCGAAUCUUUGAACGCACAUUGCGCCCCUUGGUUAUUCCGAAGGGCAUGCCUGUUCGAGCGUCAUUAUCACCCCUCAAGCCCUGGCUUGGUGUUGGACUUUAGUUAUGGCUUUGCCUAUCAACUGGUCUCAAAGAUAGUGACGGUGCCCCAGAGGGAACCGGGUACGAGGAGCUUUUUACUAAGCAUGUAUCUGGGACGACUCUGAUGGGCGACGGUCUUGUUAUACUUUUUACCUAAGUGUUGACCUCGGAUCAGGUAGGAAUACCCGCUGAACUUAAGCAUAUCAAUAAGCGGAGGA